RNAcentral lists this long non-coding RNA (507 nucleotides) under Musa acuminata (dwarf banana). Its description in RNAcentral is "long non-coding RNA (MACU_LNC005886)". The record is from RNAcentral. Lineage: Eukaryota; Viridiplantae; Streptophyta; Magnoliopsida; Zingiberales; Musaceae.
UCUAGUGCAACUCUACCUGAGAAGUGGAUAUCUUGCAAUCAGAUUGGGGAGUGGAAUGGCAAAACAAUGUUGCAUAUGUUGGUUGGAUAGUGACAAUGGGAGACUUGACGAGUGUGCACUGAACUUUUGAAAAGUUGACCUUUGUGAGAUUUAUACAAGAAAAUGGACUCAUAACGUUUGGGUUUACUCGUCCAUUGGCACCUUCAUGUGGAAUGGCAAAACAAUGUUGCAUAUGUUGGUUGGAUAGUGACAAUGGGAGACUUGAUGAGUGUGCACUGAACUUUUGAAAUUUUGACCUUUGUGAGAUUUAUACAAGAAAAUGGAAUCAUAACGUUUGGGUUUACACGUCCAUUGGCACCUUCAUGCAGCAGAAAGAAUAUUAUCAAUCCAGCUACUUCUCUAAGAGUUAUCUGGAUGAUGGUUGCCCAAUUGUUAGAAGAUGAUUUAAGAGGAGUAUGCAUUCUGUCACAAGCAAUAGGCCUGUUCUGGGCUGUGCAUGGCUUAAUG